Molecule: long non-coding RNA, 7435 nt
Filed under: Ananas comosus (pineapple)
Lineage: Eukaryota; Viridiplantae; Streptophyta; Magnoliopsida; Poales; Bromeliaceae
Description: long non-coding RNA (ACOM_LNC037896)
Source: RNAcentral
CAACUUAAACAAGCUUGAUACAUUUCUUUUCAUUUCUUUAAAACCCUUAAGCUAGACUGUCACAGGGUACAACUAUCUCGGUCUCUGGGGUAGGACGCUAUCUGCAGAACUACGCCCUUGCCUUGCGCCGCCGCGCCGCACACGUGUGUACCUGUACCUGUACCCCCAAAACAGCAACACGGGGGUGAGACUAUUGUCCAUAGUCCUCAGUGGGUUUAGCCACCCAAGAGAACAAGCUCAGCCAACAGGUCUAACGAGGCACUGCAACAUGUUAGAUCAACAAUAUACAACAGAUAUAUAUUCAAUUGAAAUACAUGUCCUGCCUCACAAAAUGCAAUAUGCAAUACCUGUAAUCAUGCAAGUAGGUUACUUUAACACUACUUAUGUUCUUAAUCAUUCAUUGUUCUUUGCCAUUUAACGCUUACUUUUAGCUCUUAGCUAUUCUUUAUCAUUUAGCUAUUCUUUACUUGUAACCUUUCGUUACAUGUUCUUUAUUCUCAACAUUCUCAAACCAUGCUAUAUUUUAACCUUUGGCAUUCUAUUCUAAGGUCACUUUACCUUAGUCAACAAGCCACCCGACUCGAUCUUGAGUCAAUCAAUCGGGGAUAGUCCGCGCACUGUCUAGCUCGAGGUGAAGGAACUCUCACAUGCACCUCAGCUGGCAAGAGCUCACCGUACUCCUGUCCUAACCGUCUGGCGGCGAACGAAUCGCACCUCACCCAACAACGGCCUAGGUUCAAUGACUUAGUCACCCGGCGGCGAACUCGUCGCACACACGCCACGACAGUGGUUCAGUCAACAGGCGGUAGGAUCCACAAACUGGCUAUCCAUACGGCGGCGAACUCGUCGCACAAACGCCACGACGAUGGCUCUUUAGCCCUUGGGCGGCGAAAUCGUCGCACGCACUCGACACCACUUUGGGUGUAGCAGCAAGCAGCGGGAUUCCGGAAUCCAUAUCACAUUAACCAAGGGUUGGCCUUAACCCUAUGGAGCUGACCUCUCUAGGUCUAAACCUUUAUCUCCUAGGUCCAAUUGACUCUAGGUUUAACAUCCUUUAUACAACCUAAGUUAUUACUUUAGGUUUAUUGCUUUCACACUCUUAACCUAGGUUUAUUACACUAGGAUCAUCAUUCUUUUCCAAUCUAGGUUCACUUAACUCUAGGUUAAGCAGCUUUCAUUCCACAACCUAUGUUCUUUACAUUAGGUUUAACAUCACUCUUCUUUAACCUAUGUUCUUUACAUUAGGUUCAACAUCACAUUUGUUUAACCUAUGUCCUCGACACUAGGUUUAAUGCCACUCGAUCUAUAGGUUUAUUCAUGUCCACCUAUAUAUAUUCCUUACUUAGCAUUCUCAACAUGUACUUGCAUGUACUAUUUUCAUACCAUGCUUAUCAUCUAUACCUUAGCAUAGCAUCAUUUUCUUUAAUCACUCUAGGGUUCUCAACCUAGAUUUUCAUGCACAUUUUAAUCUCAUAAUGUCAACAUGUAUUCUAACCAUUAUGCUCACAUGCAUUCAUAUUGUUAUGUAGCAUUAUACAACUUGUUCAUCAUGCAUUCUAUAUCUCAUCUUAACUUAUGUUAUCAACAUGCAUUUCAUCUAUGCAUCAUAUUUACAUGCAUCCUUUUAAUUUACAUGCAUAUAUACAUAUAGUCUUCUAUAUGCAUCUACUUUAGCAUUACAUCAUAUCAUGCAUUCUAGCAUUAUGCAACUUGCUCACUAUGCAUUUCUAUUUAGCAUUUAUAUUCACAUGCAUUGUUUAACACUUAGAUGCAUCAACACGAAUUCUUAAUUCGCUUAGACAUAAAGGCGACCUAGUCGCUUCGGUAAACCAACCCACCUUAACACGCGUUCCGAUUGAUCGUCGACACUUGCAAUCGGCCUCCCGCGGCAACCGUUGCCCGGUUUGGCCCGAACUCUUGCGCGACUUAGCGAACGACCUCCAAAUCGCGAUCCGUCUUUUCCGGAAGUUAUUCCUUGACUCCAAGGUGCUCCAGUUCCGAUCUCAUGAUUUUUAGACCUUUAUUCCGCGUGCUGCGGCUAUCUGUACCAAAACCGACCGUUUCGUCAAUAACUUCGCGUACGCUCGUCGGAUUGUCGAACCGAGCGCACCAACGCGUUCGUUAGGUCCCCAAUUAGGUUUCCAAGCACUCAAAAUAGAUCAAAACCCCACAUUAGCAAAAUCCCCAUUUGGGAUGCCCUAAUGCAACAUAGGCUUAAUACCUCGAAUUUGAUCUAUAAAACAAGCAAAAGAAAGCUUGUUUAUCAUCUAGAAGCUCAUCUAGGAGCAUUCGAACUCAUUCUAGGGUGUUUAAAGCAAACCCUAGAAAUCCACCAUUAGAGCCUCAUGUAGAAAACCAUGGAUUUCAUGGUGUCCUACGCUUCUACAAGGUUCUAAACACAUUAGAAGCUCCAAAACCCUAAGUUCUAGGGUUCAAAUCCCAUUCUACCACAAUCUACCAUUAGAGAGCUUGGGAGCUUACCUCUCAAAGAGCUCCAAAUGAGGAAGAAGAUGGAGAUGAAGAUGAGGGAGGGGAUCUUCUACUUGGUCCUCACCAUCUUCUCCUUUUCCUUCUCUUUUUCUUCUUCUCUUUUUCUUUUCCUCUUCUCUUUCUUCUUCUUCGGUUUGCACGAACAGAGAGAGAGAGAGAGGGCUGUGGGAGUGGGAGAGAGAGAGGAAAUACUCUCUCUAAUAACCCCUCAACAUGUAUUGUAACAAUAUCCACUUAGCCCCUCCAUGUUUUCUGUUUUUCCAACUUAACCCACUGAUCUGGGUCCCUUGUACCGGUACACGGGCUCUUGUACCGGUACAAGGCCCGACAGACAGCCAAAACCGAGAGCUGGCUCGCUCGGUUUCGCGGAUUUUGUACCGGUACAAGGCCCCCUUGUACCGGUACAGCGCCGUAGCACUGUUCCGUGAUGGUUGUACCGGUACAGCCAUCACUCUUGUACCUGUACAACAGCCCCAGAAUGCUGUUUUUCGAUUCGUUUCUAUUCGAUUUCGCACCGAUCAAUAUCAAAACCCUUCCAACUCUUUUAGAGCUUACUUUUAACCCUUCCAACAGUGUUGGAACAUUAAUUGAUCGCGUCCAACCAAUCCUCUUGAGUACUUUAGUCAAUUUGGCUAAAGUCCACAAUAUUUCGCCGAGAUCUCGGGGGUUACAUUCUCCCCUCCUUAAAAGAAUUUCGUCCGCGAAAUUCAAACCACAUCAACACUCGAUCUAUCGAGUUAUCAAGGGUAUCAACAUACCUUUCCACCCCAAUUUUCGACCACCGACAUUACACAUCAACCAUAUCAUUGGUGCAUCGGCCAAUCGCGAGUGCUUCAAUCUCAAUCAAAUCCUUGCUCUAUCACGAGACAGCGCGUCUCAAUCUCGAUCCUUUUGAGAGUAAUAUCUACACUCCAAUCCUCACGUGGCUACCGAUCAUUCAAGUGCCUCCUAGAGGCCACUUAACUUUACCUUUAUCCUUGGGUACCAUAAGCCACAAUCAAUCUCACACGAACCCUCUGUUCGCAACUCGAGCUUAGGCUCAUUCACGGAGUCAUUGGUUGCACCGACCAUCAGUUUCUACGGGUGGACCAACAGUCCCCCACCCUACUAGUAGGCCUACUGACUAAACUCGUCUCAACGACGCCUAGCGUCUCUCGCUCGCAAGCGUAGACCCAAUCAUCAUUGGGCGACAUUCUCAUUGGAGAACUCGCACACACUCCAACCAGGAGCUAUCAAGACCCCAAUCCAUAUCAAAUCCUUGGGUCGGGUCACUACACACUCGGUGUAUUAUCAAUCUCGCACUCUAACACGUGACAUUCCACGUACUCGGGUCUAAGCUCGGACUACCGUCCUGACCAAAACUCUCGCCCUACCAAUAGGUACCGGGCCGCUGUCUCUCACAGCUGACUGCGCCUGCCCACUGGGCCCAGGCUCCACAGUCCACAAGUGGUCCAGGCACGAGUCGUCCCCAAGCACUACCCACCAACGUCGUCCUACACGACAUGCUCUACAGAGCUUCAAGUACCACUAUCGGCUCCUAUGCACCUAGUGCGAGCCACCAGCCCCACGAGCGAUCCAUGGCCCGCUUCACACUUAGCCCUGCUAAAGUGCUACUGCCAACUCACUCAACUGGCUGAAUCGAAACCGCACCUCACGAGUAAUUAUACUCGAGCGCUCUACGCCUCUACAGCGUCUAACACGAAAUCCAGCAUCAGGCUGCUUGCCUAUGCACGUCCACUACACGAGCACAACUCGUUUGCCUCAACUUCGAGGUAUUUCUAGGCCAACGGGCCCUCGUCCGUCACUACACGGCUACUCUCACCUCAGUGAUUCUACUUUCACCGUCCGCUCUACCAGAACACAUUCUCAACUCCCAAGUCUUUCGGGUAUCCUCAACAUCAAGGCUCAACUCUCACAAUUUCCAAUCCAUUAUUUCGAGAGUCACUUACUAGAUCAUGUUCUCCACGAGCCUCAUUCCUUAUCGGAGAAUCAUCACUAGCCAUUAGCUAGCACCACUUGGCUUUCUACCAGCACCAACAGGUGCUACAUUCUCACGUUGCAAGCACGUUCGGGCUUCUACCUCUACCCGCCCCAACGGUCCCUACUAUGCAAUGUAUAAAUAGUAGCAACAGACCAGCAACAAAUGCAUGCUAUGCAUCAACUUGAGAUUAGCAAAAGCAUAUGUUUGCUUAAUUAACUCAUACCUGCCACGAGGUCAUCGGCAACGGCAGGCUCCGCAACUCGGGUCGCUUAUCCAAGCCCACUUGGCGCUCGUCGCGAACCCUCUGGUUGCAUCAUCCUCAACGGCCGCUCCCCCGACCAUGCCGCAGGUGGCUCACCUGCCGGCUGUCCCAGAGAGGAAUGGACCGUCGCUAGCGUCAAGGCCCGGCUAUCACCCUGCGGAUACUCGUCCCGCACAUGACCCGGCAGCCCACACUUGAAGCACUUGCCCUCGCGCUGCUCACACUGCUGUGGAAAAUGAGGGCCUCCACAAAUAGCACAUUUCGCCGAGGACCGAGUACGGUAUGUCCCCGGAGCUCGGGAUCGCGAGUGCGAAGUCCUUUGGGAACUCGAUUGAUCACUGGAUCCACCUGUCGGUCGUCCUUUCCCUUUUUCCUUGUAAUACGACUCGCGCUCUUCACGCAUAAACGCGUUGCCCUGUUCUAUCCACAAAGCCCGAUCCAGAACUUCAGCAAAAGUCUGCAACCUGUGUACAAGCACAGCCUUGUAAAGGCCUGGCCGCAGUCCACGCACAAAGCAGUCAGCCUUGUCCUUGUCAUCCCGUACCACGUUCGGGAUACAAUGCACGAUACGGGAGAAUUCCCGCUCGUAUUGCCUGACCGUGCGACUUCCUUGCCGCAGCUUAAGAAACCUCUCCUGAAGUUUCCGCUGCUCGCUAUCGGCGAAAUAAGUAGAGAACAACAUUCCCCGAAACUCUUCCCAAGUCAUAGGAGGGAGACUAGGCAGUCGAUCUCGCUUGACGCCUCUCCACCACACCUUCGCCGUUUGUUUCAGGCAAUGCGCGGCUAGGUUCACUUUGUCUCGCUCCAGCGUGUACAGAUCCUCAAAGAGUGUUUCCAUGGAAUCGAUCCACAUUUCAACGACCCACGGAUCUGCAUCUUCACCAUCAAAAGUAGGCGGAUCAAACUUCUUGAAAGUCAUGAGGGCCGCUAAAGCUCGCUCCCUCUCCGCCGCAACCUCUGGGCCAACAGGAGUCGGAUCGCCCAACCCCGACGGAAACAGCUCCGCCGCAACUCCCGGCUGUCCUCGACCAGCCGCAGCUGGUGCUGCCACCAGCCGAUCCACAGUCUCUUGGAGUCGUUCCAUUCGCUCCUCUUGGCGCAUAGCAGCCUCCUGCUGCCGCUGCACCACAUCAGCUUGUUGCCGCAUCACUCCAAUGAGUGUGGCCAACUGAUCACGAAGCUCUGAGUCUCCGCUCGCGUUGAUUUGCUCAGGGACGCCACUUGUCCCCUCCCGCGCCGAUCUGGACAAAGAUCGCCUACGCGGUGCCAUCGUUUCCUGAAACACGAUAACUCGAUUAGCUCUCGACCAACCUGGGUCGAACACGAGACCACUAACACCGGCUCAAAAGCCAAUCAGGCGAAAGUCAAACAAGGACGUCUAUUCUCGUCACUCGGCUUUAUGUUGUGCGCGCCCAACAUAAACACACUUGGUCGAGAAUAAACCAUACCUUGAGUCUGCCUCUAAAAUCCGUCUUAGAGGUUAUAACACAACCCAAUCCAUUACCUUUCGCCACAACUCACAAGUCCUCGUCUCUCACGAGCCUUAUUCUCCUAUGGUUUCACUAUCCUAGGGUCUCCUAGGUCUGUCUAAACCAUUUUUCCCAUUUUCUACUUUAUGCUCUGAUACCACAAACUGUCACGACCCGCGACCACCCGCCUAUUUGGCCGAGGUCCCGGCGCCGCCGACAUCGCCGAAUGGACAGGGUUUUCCCUGUACUACGGACAGAGUCUCCCCUGUACAUUCAAGGCAUCGCAAUCCAAACAGGUACAAAGGUUCCAACCAGGAACAGAUAUAAAUCAAACAGAUUGCAGAUGGAGGGUAUCAUACAACAUAAACACACCUUAAAGUAUUACAUUCAUUCUCAUUCAUAGUUUUUACAUCACAAUUACCAUUCCUUUAAUCCAAAUGCAAUCUAAAUUAUUACAACUUAAACAAGCUUGAUACAUUUCUUUUCAUUUCUUUAAAACCCUUAAGCUAGACUGUCACAGGGUACAACUAUCUCGGUCUCUGGGGUAGGACGCUAUCUGCAGAACUACGCCCUUGCCUUGCGCCGCCGCGCCGCACACGUGUGUACCUGUACCUGUACCCCCAAAACAGCAACACGGGGGUGAGACUAUUGUCCAUAGUCCUCAGUGGGUUUAGCCACCCAAGAGAACAAGCUCAGCCAACAGGUCUAACGAGGCACUGAAACAUGUUAGUUCAACAAUAUACAACAGAUAUAUAUUCAAUUAAAAUACAUGCCCUGCCUCACGAAAUGCAAUAUGCAAUAUCUGGAAUCAUGCAAGUAGGUUACUUUAACACUACAUAUGUUCUUAAUCAUUCUUUACUCUUUGCCAUUUAAUGACUUUCUUGAGCUAUUAGCUAUUCUUUAUUCGUAGCUUUUCUUUACUUGUUCUCUGUUCCUUAGCUAUUCAUUAUGCUUAACAUUCUUGAACCAUGCUAUAUCUUAGCUUUUAGCAUUCUACUCUAAGGUCACUUUACCUUAGUCAACAAAGCCACCCGACUCGGUCUUGAGUCAAUCAAUCGCGGAUAGUCCGCGCACUGUCUAGCUCGAGGUGAAGGAACUCUCACAUGCACCUCAGCUGGCAACAGCUCACCGUACUCCUGUCCUAGCCGUCUGGCGGCGAACGAAUCGCACCUCACCCAACAACGGCCUAGGUUCAAUGACUUAGUCACCCGGCGGCGAAAUCGUCGCACACAC